RNAcentral lists this long non-coding RNA (255 nucleotides) under Lathyrus oleraceus (garden pea). Its description in RNAcentral is "Pisum sativum (pea) long non-coding RNA (PSAT_LNC004455)". The record is from RNAcentral. Lineage: Eukaryota; Viridiplantae; Streptophyta; Magnoliopsida; Fabales; Fabaceae.
UCUAAGGGUAAAUUGGGGAUCAAUUAAAAAUCAAAACCCUAAAACCCCAGUAUAAAUAGAUAAUACAUUUGGCCAAUGGAAAUCAAUUGAUAAUAUGUUAAGAUUCUCUCACCAAUUGAAAAAAAAGGAAAACAUAAAAAAUAUUAAAAGAACUCACUCGUACAUAAAUCAGUUGCGCCCCAUUUUAGAUUCUCAUCUCUCUCUCCAAUUGAAACCAAAAUUGAAAUGUAAAAAAUAGAAAAGAAAAAUGAAGAA